UUUUUAACGUUGGCUUUCCACUCCUUUUACUCUUCUUGAUAUAUCCCCAAUACCAUAUCAUUCUCUUCAUCAUCACCAAUUUUUCUCUCACUCCCCAACCCCCUUCAAGAUAGGCGAGACUCUUGGGGGAUAAAGAGAAUAGUUGAGAGUCACCGGCACGCACCCACACGAAAUCAAAUUUCAUAUAUCUCCCUCUUUCACUUGGAAGUAUCGAUCAAGAUUUGCUAACAAAGGUAGCUUCUUUUUUGAGGGGAAUGUUGUCUGGCUCGAGGACUUUUUCUUGAUCAAUCUAAUCGAACUUUCUACCUGUAGAUCUAGUAUCUUAUUUAAGAUUGAUCACGAAUUAGGGUUGUCGGACCAGGCUUCAUUCCCCCCAAUCAUUGCUUCCAUCUCAAGGGCUUGACCAUGGGCUGUUGCAUGUACAGAGAAAAGGGCAUGUGCCGUGUGAAGAUGUACAAGCAAGCAAGUGAAGCGCUUUCUGUCAUUGUUUGAAGAGUCUCUCGAUUCUCCAUAGAAGAGAUAGAAAACUUGGUGGUACUGAAAAUCUAGACGUACUUGCAUACUCGUGAUAUGAAUUUUGGAUACAACAUUUUGGCUCAGAUAUUUAAAGUUUUCUAUAGUCGUGCCCUUGGUUUCUUUGCUUGCUCUUUCAGAAGAGCUUUGCUGUUUUCUAAAAUCAAAGCUGGAUGUCUGAACAAGGGAGUUUGUGCCCGCGUGUUUUGUGUCACUCUCACAUUACAUGCAACAACCUGUCUUGGCAUGCAAAGUUAUCUCUCGAUUACAUUUCGAAUUCUUUUCGAACAAGAGAUAUCGUUGUGAACUCCUCAGUUAAAGCCUACUGGAUCUAAAGUUACAAGUUCCCAUUCCUGAUAGCUCACAAAAUCCUCUUGUUUCUUAAUUUUAACUCUACUAGCUAGAAAGGAAUGGAUAAUGAUUCCUUUUUCACCAUUUGAUUAUAUAUGCCACACGUUAAAUAGCAGGUUCAUAAUUGAAGUCUCCCCGCAAUGUGGAAUAUGGAUGUCAUACUUUUCCAGCGUAAAGCUUGAUUGCUUUCUAGAGGAUCAGUAUGCAGCCAACUCUGCCUCUUCCCUCUGCAAAAUCUCUUCAAAUUUCUAACCUACAACAAUUCAUCAUAUAAGUUAUUUGUUUUUGAGUAAGUUUACUUAGCUUCUUUUAUUGCUUUAUUAUAUUGUUUUGUAUCUUUUUAAUUAUAAUAAGUUGUGAAAAGUUAGGGUUAGGGUUUAUAUGAUGUUAGUUGAUAUAUGAGUAAUUUUUUUGAAUUAUUUGUGUAUGGUUAAUAUUAUAUAAAUAUAAAUACGUCUUGAUAAGUAUUUUUAUUUGAUUGAUGAGUUUUGAAUAAAAGACCUUGGGGAAUAUUGAUAUUAGCAAGAAAAUAGGGAAUUAUUGAAGAAUUGUAUAGAAAGAAUUAUGUUGAGGUCGAAGAUGGACGAAUUACAGUUUGAUCCCUAUUUUUGGAAAAUUAUGGUUCUGCCCUUGAAUUCUAAAAACUUAUUGUUUAGUCCUUGGUUAUAUUUUUCAGAUAGGUUUUGCUAAAUAGUCAAGAUUUAUUUAUGUUUAUUAUCAAUUGUAUUGCUUUCAUUUGAAUUUGGAAUUAAUUUUAUUAUACGUUGAAA
Populus euphratica (Euphrates poplar) is the source of this 1634-nucleotide RNA transcript. RefSeq lists it as uncharacterized. The transcript has 4 exons. The record is from RefSeq and is a predicted model, not a curated record. NCBI's taxonomy places the organism in Eukaryota, Viridiplantae, Streptophyta, Magnoliopsida, Malpighiales, Salicaceae.